GAUGAACGCUGGCGGCGUGCCUAAUACAUGCAAGUCGAGCGAACAGACGAGGAGCUUGCUCCUCUGACGUUAGCGGCGGACGGGUGAGUAACACGUGGAUAACCUACCUAUAAGACUGGGAUAACUUCGGGAAACCGGAGCUAAUACCGGAUAAUAUAUUGAACCGCAUGGUUCAAUAGUGAAAGACGGUUUUGCUGUCACUUAUAGAUGGAUCCGCGCCGCAUUAGCUAGUUGGUAAGGUAACGGCUUACCAAGGCAACGAUGCGUAGCCGACCUGAGAGGGUGAUCGGCCACACUGGAACUGAGACACGGUCCAGACUCCUACGGGAGGCAGCAGUAGGGAAUCUUCCGCAAUGGUCGAAAGCCUGACGGAGCAACGCCGCGUGAGUGAUGAAGGUCUUCGGAUCGUAAAACUCGGUUAUUAGGGAAGAACAAAUGUGUAAGUAACUAUGCACGUCUUGACGGUACCUAAUCAGAAAGCCACGGCUAACUACGUG
RNAcentral lists this ribosomal RNA (497 nucleotides) under uncultured bacterium. RNAcentral describes it as "partial 16S ribosomal RNA". It matches the Rfam family "Bacterial small subunit ribosomal RNA", at positions 28 to 507 of the family's 1533-position model. The record is from RNAcentral.